GAUGAACGCUGGCGGCGUGCCUAAUACAUGCAAGUCGAGCGAACAGACGAGGAGCUUGCUCCUCUGACGUUAGCGGCGGACGGGUGAGUAACACGUGGAUAACCUACCUAUAAGACUGGGAUAACUUCGGGAAACCGGAGCUAAUACCGGAUAAUAUAUUGAACCGCAUGGUUCAAUAGUGAAAGACGGUUUUGCUGUCACUUAUAGAUGGAUCCGCGCCGCAUUAGCUAGUUGGUAAGGUAACGGCUUACCAAGGCAACGAUGCGUAGCCGACCUGAGAGGGGGAUCGCCCACACUGGAACUUAGACACGGUCCAGACUCCUACGGGAGGCAGCAGUAGGGAAUCUUCCGCAAUGGGCGAAAGCCUGACGGAGCAACGCCGCGUGAGUGAUGAAGGUCUUCGGAUCGUAAAACUCUGUUAUUAGGGAAGAACAAAUGUGUAAGUAACUAUGCACGUCUUGACGGUACCUAAUCAGAAAGCCACGGCUAACUACGUG
Molecule: ribosomal RNA, 497 nt
Filed under: uncultured bacterium
Lineage: Bacteria
Description: partial 16S ribosomal RNA
Rfam family: Bacterial small subunit ribosomal RNA
Source: RNAcentral